RNAcentral lists this long non-coding RNA (305 nucleotides) under Setaria viridis. RNAcentral's name for it is "long non-coding RNA (SVIR_LNC011463)". Lineage: Eukaryota; Viridiplantae; Streptophyta; Magnoliopsida; Poales; Poaceae. The record is from RNAcentral.
GAUACUAAUUAACAUGGAAUGUUUAGUACUAAUUAGAAGUAUUAAAUAGAGGUUAAUUACAAAAUCAAUUGUACAAAUGAAGGUUAAUUCGCGAGAUGAAUCUAUUAAACCUAAUUAAUCCAUGAUUAGCACAUAUUUAUUGGAAGGCUAAUUCGCGAGACGAAUCUAUUAAGCCUAAUUAGUUCCUGAUUUGACCAUGUGAUGCUACAGUAAAUAUGUGCUAAUCAUUGUAGAUUAUCUCGCGAAUUAGCCACAGUUUAUGCAAUUAGUUUUAUAAUUAACUACUCAAACAUCCUAUGUAACCC